Raphanus sativus (radish) is the source of this 702-nucleotide long non-coding RNA. RefSeq lists it as uncharacterized. The transcript has 2 exons. The record is from RefSeq and is a predicted model, not a curated record. Lineage: Eukaryota; Viridiplantae; Streptophyta; Magnoliopsida; Brassicales; Brassicaceae.
UGAUCAGUGUAACAACAUUGCUAUUUUUCUUUGUUUUACUCUCUAAGAGCAUCAUCAACGCGGGUGCUUAGCCCGGGAUUUUAGUGUUUUUAGAUUUAAAAAAAAAUAAAAAUUGCGUAAUUAAAGAAGCCACGCUGCUUAAUUAAGAGUCAGAAGACCCGUUGCUUAUGAACACGUGUCAGACAUUCACCAUUCUUCCUCUCUUUCGACGAAAUCGUCCGCCUCUCUCUUUUCUCGAUCACACAGUGGGUGAUGGAAAAGGAACACAGAGUCUUCUCCCUCCAUUCUAGAUGCCUCCGUUCACCGUCGUGGCUGUUGAUGCGACAGUCAGUUUCUUCGUCGGAUGAUCUCAGCAAGAAGAUUAGGAAGCCUUAUACCAUCACCAAGUCGAGGGAGAGCUGGACGGAGCCUGGGCACGACAAGUUCCUCGAAGCUCUUCAGCUUUUGACAGAGACUGGAAGAAGAUUAAAGCUUUUAUUGGGUCAAAAAUUGUGAUUCAGGUACAGUAUAUUGGAAGAAGAUUGAAGCUUUUAAAACGACUUUACUCGUGUAGCUUUGUUUUUUUUCAACUUUAUGUUGUGUAAUGUGUAAUGUUGACAAAAGCUUGUUUUUAUAUGAAACCGCAAGCUUUCUCUUUGAUUCUUGUUCUCACUUCGCACUUGGUGAGCUUCUCUCAGUCUUACUCUGUUUUUACUUAUCUUA